Molecule: ribosomal RNA, 253 nt
Filed under: uncultured bacterium
Lineage: Bacteria
Description: partial 16S ribosomal RNA
Rfam family: Bacterial small subunit ribosomal RNA
Source: RNAcentral
GACGUAGGGCGCGAGCGUUGUCCGGAUUUAUUGGGCGUAAAGAGCUCGUAGGUGGUUUGUCGCGUUGUUCGUGAAAACUCACAACUCAAUUGUGGGCGUGCGGGCGAUACGGGCAGACUGGAGUACUGCAGGGGAGACUGGAAUUCCUGGUGUAGCGGUGGAAUGCGCAGAUAUCAGGAGGAACACCGGUGGCGAAGGCGGGUCUCUGGGCAGUAACUGACGCUGAGGAGCGAAAGCGUGGGGAGCAAACAGG